GACGAAACGCUGGCGGCAUGCCUAACACAUGCAAGUUCGAACGGAGAUAUUUCGGAAGCUUCGCUUUUUGGAUAUCUUAGUGGCGGACGGGCGAGUAACGCGUUGAGCAACCUGGCCUUCAGAGUGGAACAACGUCUGGAAACGGGCGCUAAUACCGCAUAAUACAAGAGAGUCGCAUGGCUUUUUUGUCAAAGGAGAAAUCCGCUGAAGGAUGGGCUCGCGUCCGAUUAGCUAGAUGGGGUGGUAACGGCACACCAUGGCGACGAUCGGUAGCCGAACUGAGAGGUUGAUCGGCCGCAUUGGGACUGAGACACGGCCCAGACUCCUACGGAGGCAGCAGUGGGGGAUAUUGGUCAAUGGGGGAAACCCUGAACCAGCAAUGCCGCGUGAGGGAAGAAGGUCUUCGGAUUGUAAACCUAAGUAGUCAGGGACGAAAGAAAUGACGGUACCUGAAGAGUAAGCUCCGGCUAACUACGUGCCAGCAGCCGCGGUAAUACGUAGGGAGCGAGCGUUGUCCGGAUUUACUGGGUGUAAAGGGUGCGUAGGCGGGAUGGCAAGUCAGAUGUGAAAUACCGGGGCUUAACUCCGGGGCUGCAUUUGAAACUGUCGUUCUUGAGUGAAGUAGAGGCAGGCGGAAUUCCUAGUGUAGCGGUGAAAUGCGUAGAUAUUAGGAGGAACACCAGUGGCGAAGGCGGCCUGCUGGGCUUUAACUGACGCUGAGGCACGAAAGCAUGGGGAGCAAACAGGAUUAGAUACCCUGGUAGUCCAUGCCGUAAACGAUGAUUGCUAGGUGUGGGGGGACUGACCCCCUCCGUGCCGGAGUAAACACAAUAAGCAAUCCACCUGGGGAGUACGACCGCAAGGUUGAAACUCAAAGGAAUUGACGGGGGCCCGCACAAGCAGUGGAGUAUGUGGUUUAAUUCGACGCAACGCGAAGAACCUUACCAGGUCUUGACAUCCAACUAACGAGGUAGAGAUACGUCAGGUGCCCUUCGGGGAAAGUUGAGACAGGUGGUGCAUGGUUGUCGUCAGCUCGUGUCGUGAGAUGUUGGGUUAAGUCCCGCAACGAGCGCAACCCUUGUGAUUAGUUGCUACGCAAGAGCACUCUAAUCAGACUGCCGUUGACAAAACGGAGGAAGGUGGGGACGACGUCAAAUCAUCAUGCCCCUUAUGACCUGGGCUACACACGUACUACAAUGGCCGUUAACAAAGGGAAGCAAAGCCGCGAGGCGGAGCAAAACCCCAAAAACGGUCCCAGUUCAGAUUGCAGGCUGCAACUCGCCUGUAUGAAGUUGGAAUUGCUAGUAAUCGCGGAUCAGCAUGCCGCGGUGAAUACGUUCCCGGGCCU
Molecule: ribosomal RNA, 1348 nt
Filed under: uncultured bacterium
Lineage: Bacteria
Description: bacterial SSU rRNA
Rfam family: Bacterial small subunit ribosomal RNA
Source: RNAcentral